This 570-nucleotide ribosomal RNA is filed under the name Triticum aestivum (bread wheat). RNAcentral describes it as "partial small subunit ribosomal RNA". Lineage: Eukaryota; Viridiplantae; Streptophyta; Magnoliopsida; Poales; Poaceae. The record is from RNAcentral.
AUGUCCGAUGACUAUCGGCGAUCACACACGUACCCGAUUGAGGUGGAACAGAUAGUGUUGCUUGACAUUAGGGGUAUGUUGCAGUCCAUGGGCAAAGACAUAGCUGAUUUCGCUCUACCAUGCAUUGACGAUGCGUUCGACCCAACCGAGGGCGAGGCCAGAGAAGUGAUCGAGGAAUCCAACGUCGAUUUUGACAUCAACGACACUAAAUUGGCUUCGUCGCUAAACUCGGAGCAGAGGGCUGCAUACGACGAGAUACUAGUUUCUGUUGAACGUGGUGAUGGGGGUGUGUUCUUUGUUGAUGGCCCAGGAGGUACAGGGAAGACCUUCCUGUACAGGGUGCUGCUCGCCAAGGUUCGAAGCAAGGGAAACAUCGCUAUCGCUACCGCGACGUCAGGCGUCGCCGCUUCUAUCAUGCCUGGAGGCAGGACUGCCCACUCGAGGUUCAAGAUCCCAUUGAGCUGCAACGAUGGCGCCUCAUGCACCUUCACAAAGCAGAGUGGUACCGCCAAGCUAUUGAGGAUGGCCUCAUUGAUACUAUGGGAUGAGGCUGAGGGAGUCCUGGACUAA